GGGAAAGGGGAAGUGGUUCUGAAAGGAGGGAGAUGGAGAGGAAAAGAAUGGCGCUGAAAACAGGAAGUAACCAGACAUCUUCAUCGGUUCACUAUGUUGGCUGAAGAAGAGCAAGUCACACCUGUCUGAGUGGAAAAAAUGUGUAUAUAUACACAAAGUGUGAGGUCUUUCAGCAAGUUCUCCUUGGGCCAGCAAUGUGCCCUUAUGGCCAAGAGGGUCAAUGCCAUCCUGGCCAGCAGCUCUAGGGAGGUUCUUCUCCGUCUCUACUCUGCCAUCCUGAGACCACACCUGCAAUACUGUGUCCAGUUUUGGGCUCCCCAAUUCAAGAAGGACAGGGAUCUACUGGAAAGAGUCCAACAGAGAGCCAUGAGAAUGACUAGAGGACUUGAACAUCUUCCUUAUGAAGAGAUACUGAGAGACCUUUGGCUUUUCAGUCUUUUCAUUUGGAAGUCUUUAACAACUACCCUCUGAAUGAGACCAUGCAACCAAUUCAUUAUACACUGAACAGUCCACAUAUCAAAUCCAUAUCUCUCCAGUUUAAAAAGAGGAAUGUUGUGAGGAACUGUGUCAAACAUAUUAACAUAUUAUUGUGAACAUAAAAGUAGAUUUCUAAUGGAUUUUUUUUUUUAAAUUUCCUUUUGAAUUCUGGGCUGCUUUUGAAUUGUUCUGUCUACAGUUGUGCCCUGUCUGUUGAUAAUGACAAAGGAAAAUAAAGAGGAGAAAUAAAACCUGUGUUUGUUAAUUUUUUUUGUUUGAUAAAUAAAAAUAACUGAUAAAUUCUCAUA
Long non-coding RNA from Pogoniulus pusillus (Red-fronted tinkerbird), 785 nucleotides. RefSeq lists it as uncharacterized. The record is from RefSeq and is a predicted model, not a curated record. The transcript has 2 exons. Lineage: Eukaryota; Metazoa; Chordata; Aves; Piciformes; Lybiidae.